This is a long non-coding RNA of Callithrix jacchus (white-tufted-ear marmoset), 3280 nucleotides long. RefSeq lists it as uncharacterized. The record is from RefSeq and is a predicted model, not a curated record. NCBI's taxonomy places the organism in Eukaryota, Metazoa, Chordata, Mammalia, Primates, Cebidae.
UACUCGGGAGGCUGAGGCAAGAGAAUCCCUUGAACCCGAGAAGCGGAGGUUGCAGUGAGCAGAGGUCAACGCCGCUGCACUCUAGCCUGGGCUGAGCCUGGCGUCCGGUUGCUAGGAGGCGCGUGUGGCCCGCGGGCUCUGGAGCGCCACGUUUGUCUCUAGUGCUGGAGGAAGGAAAGCAGGCUCGCGCUUCGAGGCCCCGCGCGAAGACCAACCCAGAGGAAAACUCUCAAAAAGAGACAGUUAUGAAUGCACGUGAGAAGAAAAUCUAGAGGGCUCUGGAGUUGCCAGAGAGCCCUCGAAUCAUUAAACAGUUAAAUGACUCAGAUGCAGAGCAACCAUUGGCAAUGAAUGCCUCACUAUAUUGCCCAGACUGGUCUCUGGGCUCAAGUGAUCCUGCUGCCUCAGCCUCCCAAAGUGCAAGAUGACCAGCCACCAGGCGCCAGUCUUUUUGAGGAGACAUGCAAUCAAAUCGGUGACACAUUUAAAACAGUGCAACUCAACAAAAAAAAUUAUUCUCAAAACUGUUUGCUUCAAAACACUCAAUACAUGUAAAUUUACAAACCUCAGAAAGUAAAAACUAAGUUUAAGUUAAAUUACACAAUAAGUAAAAAUAUAACCUGCUUAAGUUUAUCUUUAAUACUAAUAGCUUUCUACCUACAAUCCUAUUAAAUAGUAUUUGUGAUGAAUAUUUGAGGUGACUAGUAUAAUUUUGGUAUCCCCCAAAUUUCUACAUUCUUAUGUAAGUGGGGAACUUGCUUUAAACUGGCUAUAUAGCUUAGUUCCAACUGGGCUUCUCAUUUUCUCCAGCAUUAGAAAAAGUGCUCAAAUGGUUUUUAAGCUCUUAUCAAACCCUUCCUGCUUACUGUGAAAACUGUGGCAGAUAAACUGCUUGGUGCUCAUACUAAUAAAGUCUCUAAUGAAAACAAAGGAAUAGUUUGCAAAGCAUUUCAACACUACAAUUAAAAAAAUAAAAACAAACUUCAGUAAGGAAAGAAAAAACACUUCCCUAACAUUGACAUUAACCGUCAUCUCAAAGUAUAAGGAUAAAUCAAAAGUAUUAAUGUUCUGUGGGAUGGCAUAAAGAGAACAUGACAUACAAUUAUGUAAUAAUUUCACAUACUUUCCAAAGCAAACUAAAGAGGACAAGAUUUAAGCAGCUUCAAUAGCUGUCACUGCUUUUUAAAAGAAAAAUCCAUAUUGCUACAGUGACAUUUAUAAAAUAGAAUGCCAACUUCUUAAAUAUGCAAUUCUUAGGUUAAAAUAUUAGCUAAUUUUAACUAGGGUAAAUUCAGUGUUCCUUUUUGAUUCUCCAUUUCAAGUUGCUUUAGUUACUUCCUGGCCCCCUUUCUCUUGUGGAGACUGGUUUGAAAUUAAAGUGUUAAGCAACCCAGAAUUCCUGUUUUAUACUAAGGUAGUCUUCAAAAAUAACAAAACAAAGACCACCACUACUACACCACAAGGCUCCAAAGUAUAUCCACACAGACUAUAAAAUACAUGUCUUUAAUUACAAUGAGCCCCGCCCAUCUUUCACAGGCUACUUGACAAUCCCACUUGCCAAAGCAGGCUGAAUUACUGUAUGACAUUACAUCCAUGUUAGUAUCUAUGACAUAUACUACAGUCAGUUCUUUCAUACAAGUCUCUUAUUCUAAGUUGGCUAUUCAAUUUAUAACAAUCUAAUGGGUACAAUCUAGCUGAGUAUUUCUCACCUGCAAUCUGCUCUUCAGUCAGUUGGUCAGCCUACGAGAUCAAAGAGAUAGGUUAGUGACUUGAGAGCAUGUAGAUUAGCAGUUACAUAAACAAGUUUAAAACCUUUCAAGAGUUACCCUGUACUGUUUCAUUUAGUUCCAGCAACAAACACAUCUGGGUAGAAAAUGCACACAUCUGGUUUCUUAUCUUCAAAGCUAAGCUGUCUUAACUUCAAGUUUAAGAUACACAAAUACUUCGAAAUAUUUUUCAAAGUAUACUUUAGAAUCCAAAAGAAACAUCACUUCCUUUUUCAACAUUAGAAUAGCUAAACUUAAGCUUACUUCUAUGCCAGAAAUAAAUCACCAGAAAUUCCCAUUGAAUCAAAAUGCUUCAGGAUCACAAAAUGAAAAUUACUCCCACAAAUGGUUAAACACUUCAUUUUGAAAUGAAAGUGAUCUUCCAAAAUGUAAAAAAAAAAGGGGGGGGGGGCAAUAAGCUUUUAUUCCUUCUCACCCAGCAGGCAAAUGCAAAGAAUCCGGAGUUCUGAACAUCUGAACUACAAUACUUACCAAAUGUUUAAAAGUUCAGCCAUCCAUUUUCUCUUGGUUUUUAAAAUCCCAAAGUAAGGCUAAGGCUUGUGAUAUUUUUUAAUAGCACUUGGUUUUCGUCAGAAAAUAUUUUCUGGCAUUUGCUAAAACCUAUUAUAAAUUUUAUCCUUAUUCAAUCUUAACAAUAACCUUAUAAUGGUAAUAUCCCCUAUCUUACAGAUUAGGAAUGAAGCUAGGGUUAAAUGGGAGUGGGGAAGACAAAAUUAGUAGAACCAAAGUAAAGCACUAAGGUGUCAGACACACUCAGUAACUUUUAGCUUUUAAUUCAGACCACCGUAAUAUAUAAAGAUGAUUGCAAAAUAUCCAGACUCCUUGUUGUAUUCUUUGAACAUGUACUUUUUUCAAUGCUUAUUAGUACAUACAGCCAUGAAGCAACUGCUUAUGGAGUAUUGAGAAACACAGCCAAGAAACAGCCUCCUAUCUAAAAUCCCUCUCAACAUGGCAGUCAAAUAUACAAUGAUUAAUCCAUUCAUUUAUUUGUAGUAAAAGAAAAAUAAACAUUGCCUGGUUUCAUUCUUUUUAAAUGAACACAACCCCUGGGAAAAGUAACACCUUAAUGUAGAAUAGCCUCACAUUUUCUCUAGGGCACAGCAUGAGAAAAUUCGAGAAGGAAUUCAGAAAGUAGUUUAUUUUCCCUGCUCAACAAUUUUUACUUGACCAUGAUGUAAAUAAAAUUUAAAAAAAAAAAAGCUGGUAAUUUAAAACUGAAGAGACAAUAAUUAAGUUCAAAUAGAGUUUGUAAAAUAAAAAUGUAUCCACUUUUAUCCCUAACGUCCAAAUCCUCCAUCAACAAAUAUUGGGUGUGAAGUCAGUCAGUUUGUUUUCCCAAAGAAUAAGGUUUAAAAUCCAGUAAAUCUAUUGAGUUAUUUACUUUGUUACAAUAGAAGCUACAGUACUUCAGUUUAUUGCAUUUUGCAGGACUUCCAUCAUUUCUGAAAGGAAGGACUAUGGGGCAUGGCGUGUGGGUAAAGCAUAAAGUUCUG